CUUGGUCAUUUAGAGGAAGUAAAAGUCGUAACAAGGUUUCCGUAGGUGAACCUGCGGAAGGAUCAUUCAUAAUUGAGUGUUUUAUGGCACUCUUUAAAAAAAUCCAUAUCCACCUUGUGUGCAACGUUUUUGAACUCUCUGGCAUUAAAAAGCCAAGAGGGUUUGAUUAACUUAACACCUUUAAAGCAGUUUGUCUGAAUAUCUAUUUCUGAAUAAACAUAAUUCAAAAAUACAACUUUCAACAACGGAUCUCUUGGCUCUCGCAUCGAUGAAGAACGCAGCGAAAUGCGAUACGUAAUGUGAAUUGCAGAAUUCAGUGAAUCAUCGAAUCUUUGAACGCACAUUGCGCUCUCUGGUAUUCCGGAGAGCAUGCUUGUUUGAGUAUCAGUAAACACCUCAACUCCUUUAUUGUAGUUGGACUUGAGCUAUCCCAACAGGACUUUUGUUCCUGGCGGGAGGCCUGAAAUGCAGGUGCAGCUGGACUUUCUUCUGAGCUAUAAGCAUAUUUAUUUAAUCCCUUAACACGGAUUAUUACUUUUUUGCUGCAGCUAACAUAAAGGUUGAAUUUCCAUUGAGCUGACUGAUGCAGGAAUUUGGCAAGGAAUUUUUUUAAUGACUUGUUAAACUCGAUCUCAAAUCAAGUAAGACUACCCGCUGAACUUAAGCAUAUCAAUAAGCGGAGGA
This 684-nucleotide ribosomal RNA is filed under the name uncultured fungus. Its description in RNAcentral is "eukaryotic LSU rRNA". The stretch from base 234 to 387 matches the Rfam family "5.8S ribosomal RNA". Lineage: Eukaryota; Fungi. The record is from RNAcentral.